Molecule: long non-coding RNA, 724 nt
Filed under: Felis catus (domestic cat)
Lineage: Eukaryota; Metazoa; Chordata; Mammalia; Carnivora; Felidae
Description: lncRNA (ENSFCAG00000048587.1)
Source: RNAcentral
CUGGACAGAGAGUCAGGAAGCCGAGUUCUUGGCCUCGUCUUGAACUCACGUGUGACUUCCAGCAAGCUCUUCCCUGGUUCGGCCUGUUGAUCAGCAAAAGGAGGGGGUAAGUUCAACAGGUCACUUUCCGCCUUUAAAACCUGAUGACGAUGGGCACUAUCCCUCAGGAGGACAACUUUGGCAGUCCCUACACAUUUAAAUGUGCACACCCACUGAUUUCUUGAAACGGGUCUAAGAAAUACACACAGAAGUGCACGAGACAGAUGCUUAGGAUGUUCACUGAAACACUGAGUGAUGAUGACUUAAGUGUCCACCAUCACAAGACUGUCUAAACGAGUUACAGCAUACCUACACCUUGGAUGGCAACGCAGCCUGGAAAAAAAGGAAGAAGGAAUCUCAGGCGCACCUAUGACGCAAGCCUCAGAGCAAAUUCCGCUCAGGAGAUCCAGGAAGCUCUGGCCUGGCCCUCCCUUCUAGAAAGGAAAGUCCAAGAGGGAUGCCACACCCAGAGGAGGGGAGAGAGGACAUGACAAUACCUCCAGGAAUGCAGAGCCCACGCAGGUAUAUACAGUGGUGUUUUCUGAAGGGGCAUGACAUGUGAUGAUUAUCACCCUGAUGACUGUUGGAAGGUGUGCUUUUGUGUUCCUGUGUUUGGACAUCGAUGAACAGUAAAAGACGUGACACACAUAAACAAAAUGCUUGGGGGCCUCUAUAAUUUUUAAGA